GUUUGUAUAGUUUAAUAAAAAAUUUCAGUUUGUGGUUCUGAGGAUUCAUUUUUGUUACAAACA
This 63-nucleotide transfer RNA is filed under the name Hypocassida subferruginea. RNAcentral's name for it is "tRNA-His". The record is from RNAcentral. Lineage: Eukaryota; Metazoa; Arthropoda; Insecta; Coleoptera; Chrysomelidae.